UGGCCCAACUGAUUGAUGGUGCUUGCACCUGAUUGACGAUGGAUCACCAGUGAGUGGCGGACGGGUGAGUAACACGUAGGUAACCUGCCCCGGAGCGGGGGAUAACAUUUGGAAACAGAUGCUAAUACCGCAUAACAACAAAAGCCACAUGGCUUUUGUUUGAAAGAUGGCUUUGGCUAUCACUCUGGGAUGGACCUGCGGUGCAUUAGCUAGUUGGUAAGGUAACGGCUUACCAAGGCGAUGAUGCAUAGCCGAGUUGAGAGACUGAUCGGCCACAAUGGAACUGAGACACGGUCCAUACUCCUACGGGAGGCAGCAGUAGGGAAUCUUCCACAAUGGGCGCAAGCCUGAUGGAGCAACACCGCGUGAGUGAAGAAGGGUUUCGGCUCGUAAAGCUCUGUUGUUGGAGAAGAACGUGCGUGAGAGUAACUGUUCACGCAGUGACGGUAUCCAACCAGAAAGUCACGGCUAACUACGUG
Molecule: ribosomal RNA, 479 nt
Filed under: uncultured bacterium
Lineage: Bacteria
Description: bacterial SSU rRNA
Rfam family: Bacterial small subunit ribosomal RNA
Source: RNAcentral